Molecule: ribosomal RNA, 253 nt
Filed under: uncultured bacterium
Lineage: Bacteria
Description: partial 16S ribosomal RNA
Rfam family: Bacterial small subunit ribosomal RNA
Source: RNAcentral
UACGUAGGGGGCAAGCGUUGUCCGGAAUCAUUGGGCGUAAAGCGCGUGUAGGCGGCUCGGUAAGUCUGCUGUGAAAGUCCAGGGCUCAACCCUGGGAUGCCGGUGGAUACUGUCGAGCUCGAGUCCGGAAGAGGCGAGUGGAAUUCCCGGUGUAGCGGUGAAAUGCGCAGAUAUCAGGAGGAACACCAAUGGCGAAGGCAGCUCGCUGGGACGUGACUGACGCUGAGACGCGAAAGCGUGGGGAGCAAACAGG